RNAcentral lists this ribosomal RNA (374 nucleotides) under uncultured Bacteroidota bacterium. RNAcentral's name for it is "bacterial SSU rRNA". It matches the Rfam family "Bacterial small subunit ribosomal RNA", at positions 113 to 485 of the family's 1533-position model. Lineage: Bacteria; Pseudomonadati; Bacteroidota. The record is from RNAcentral.
ACGCGUAUACAAUCUACCUUUAANUGAGGGAUAGCCCAUAGAAAUUUGGAUUAAUACCUCAUAGUAUUAUAUUAAGGCAUCUUUUUAUAAUUAAAACUCCGGUGGUUAAAGAUGAGUAUGCGUCCUAUUAGCUAGUUGGUAAGGUAAAAGCUUACCAAGGCUACGAUAGGUAGGGGGCCUGAAAGGGUGAUCCCCCACACUGGUACUGAGACACGGACCAGACUCCUACGGGAGGCAGCAGUGAGGAAUAUUGCACAAUGGAGGAAACUCUGAUGCAGCCAUGCCGCGUGCAGGAUGAAUGCCCUAUGGGUUGUAAACUGCUUUUAUACAAGAAGAAACAUCGGUACGUGUACCGACUUGACGGUAUUGUAGAA